Molecule: ribosomal RNA, 460 nt
Filed under: uncultured bacterium
Lineage: Bacteria
Description: partial 16S ribosomal RNA
Rfam family: Bacterial small subunit ribosomal RNA
Source: RNAcentral
CCUACGGGAGGCAGCAGUGAGGAAUAUUGGUCAAUGGGCGUAAGCCUGAACCAGCCAAGUCGCGUGAGGGAUGAAGGUUCUAUGGGUCGUAAACCUCUUUUAUAAGGGAAUAAAGUGAGGCACGUGUCCCGUUUUGUAUGUACCUUAUGAAUAAGGAUCGGCUAACUCCGUGCCAGCAGCCGCGGUAAUACGGAGGAUCCGAGCGUUAUCCGGAUUUAUUGGGUUUAAAGGGAGCGUAGAUGGGUUUUUAAGUCAGCUGUGAAAGUCUGUGGCUCAACCAUAAAAUUGCAGUUGAUACUGGGAGUCUUGAGUACAGUUGAGGUAGGCGGAAUGCGUGGUGUAGCGGUGAAAUGCUUAGAUAUCACGAAGAACCCCGAUUGCGAAGGCAGCUUGCCAAGCUAUGACUGACACUGAUGCUCGAAAGCGUGGGGAUCAAACAGGAUUAGAUACCCUAGUAGUC